This 502-nucleotide ribosomal RNA is filed under the name uncultured bacterium. RNAcentral's name for it is "partial 16S ribosomal RNA". It matches the Rfam family "Bacterial small subunit ribosomal RNA", at positions 29 to 523 of the family's 1533-position model. The record is from RNAcentral.
AUUGAACGCUGGCGGCAUGCCUUACACAUGCAAGUCGAGCGGCAGCGCGGGGGCAACCCUGGCGGCGAGCGGCGAACGGGUGAGUAAUGCAUCGGAACGUGUCCUCUUGUGGGGGAUAACCAGUCGAAAGACUGGCUAAUACCGCAUGAGAUCGCAAGAUGAAAGCAGGGGACCCGCAAGGGCCUUGCGCGAGAGGAGCGGCCGAUGCCUGAUUAGCUAGUUGGUGGGGUAAAAGCCUACCAAGGCGACGAUCAGUAGCUGGUCUGAGAGGACGACCAGCCACACUGGGACUGAGACACGGCCCAGACUCCUACGGGAGGCAGCAGUGGGGAAUUUUGGACAAUGGGGGCAACCCUGAUCCAGCCAUGCCGCGUGUGCGAAGAAGGCCUUCGGGUUGUAAAGCACUUUCGGCCGGAACGAAAUCGUCACCGUUAAUAGCGGUGAUGGAUGACGGUACCGGAAGAAGAGGCACCGGCUAACUACGUGCCAGCCGCCGCCGCGG